Molecule: ribosomal RNA, 369 nt
Filed under: uncultured bacterium
Lineage: Bacteria
Description: bacterial SSU rRNA
Rfam family: Bacterial small subunit ribosomal RNA
Source: RNAcentral
GUAGGGUGCAAGCGUUAAUCGGAAUUACUAGGCGUAAAGCGUGCGCAGGCGGCUUUGCAAGACAGAUGUGAAAUCCCCGGGCUCAACCUGGGAACUGCAUUUGUGACUGCAUGGCUAGAGUGCGGCAGAGGGGGAUGGAAUUCCGCGUGUAGCAGUGAAAUGCGUAGAUAUGCGGAGGAACACCGAUGGCGAAGGCAAUCCCCUGGGCCUGCACUGACGCUCAUGCACGAAAGCGCGGGGAGCAAACAGGAUUAGAUACCCUGGUAGUCCACGCCCUAAACGAUGUCAACUGGUUGUUGGACGGCUUGCUGUUCAGUAACGAAGCUAACGCGUGAAGUUGACCGCCUGGGGAGUACGGCCGCAAGGUUG